GCGGCAGGCCUAACACAUGCAAGUCGAACGGUAGCACAGAGNAGCUUGCUCCUUGGGUGACGAGUGGCGGACGGGUGAGUAAUNCCUGGGAAACUGCCNNGAUGGAGGGGGAUAACUACUGGAAACGGUAGCUAAUACCGCAUAACGUCUUCGGACCAAAGUGGGGGACCUUCGGGCCUCACACCAUCGGAUGUGNCCAGGUGGGAUUAGCUAGUAGGUGGGGUAAUGGCUCACNUAGGCGACGAUCCCUAGCUGGUCUGAGAGGAUGNCCAGCCACACUGGAACUGAGACACGGUCCAGACUCCUACGGGAGGCAGCAGUGGGGAAUAUUGCACAAUGGGCGCAAGCCUGAUGCAGCCAUGCCGCGUGUAUGAAGAAGGCCUUCGGGUUGUAAAGUACUUUCAGUGGGGAGGAAGGCGAUGAGGUUAAUAACCUCGUCGAUUGACGUUACCCGCAGAAGAAGCACCGGCUAACUCCGUGCCAGCAGCCGCGGUAAUACGGAGGGUGCAAGCGUUAAUCGGAAUUACUGGGCGUAAAGCGCACGCAGGCGGUCUGUCAAGUCGGAUGUGAAAUCCCCGGGCUCAACCUGGGAACUGCAUUCGAAACUGGCAGACUAGAGUCUUGUAGAGGGGGGUAGAAUUCCAGGUGUAGCGGUGAAAUGCGUAGAGAUCUGGAGGAAUACCGGUGGCGAAGGCGGCCCCCUGGACAAAGACUGACGCUCAGGUGCGAAAGCGUGGGGAGCAAACAGGAUUAGAUUCCCUGGUAGUCCCCGCCGUAACCGAUGUCGACUUGGAGGUUGUGCCCUUGAGGCGUGGCUUCCGGAGCUA
This 827-nucleotide ribosomal RNA is filed under the name gamma proteobacterium Tree1_3c. Its description in RNAcentral is "bacterial SSU rRNA". It matches the Rfam family "Bacterial small subunit ribosomal RNA", at positions 39 to 854 of the family's 1533-position model. The record is from RNAcentral. Lineage: Bacteria; Pseudomonadati; Pseudomonadota; Gammaproteobacteria.